GCCUGGCUGGCUCAGCCAGUAGAGCAUGAGACUCUUGAUCUUGGGGUCAUGGGUUUGAGCCCCAUGUGUGGCA
RNAcentral lists this transfer RNA (73 nucleotides) under Canis lupus familiaris (dog). It matches the Rfam family "tRNA". Rfam says of the family: Transfer RNA (tRNA) molecules are approximately 80 nucleotides in length. Their secondary structure includes four short double-helical elements and three loops (D, anti-codon, and T loops). The record is from Rfam by way of RNAcentral. RNAcentral also lists the same sequence under 1 other name. Lineage: Eukaryota; Metazoa; Chordata; Mammalia; Carnivora; Canidae.